UGGUAACCUUUGUGGCAUUGAGGUUUGUAAUCCUAAUUCCAAACUAUAAGUAUCUUGUCUUAUUGGGCAUAGUUAUAUGGUUUUAUGAUGGACCCUUCUCAAAGCCUACAGCACUGGAACACCUUUUCCCCUUGACAUGUUUAUGCUUCUCUUCUGUCAAUCUGUAUGAUAUGGCACCACACUGUUGGGGUCUAAAACUAUGUUUUUGUCAAUAUCAUUUGCUGUAUGGGAAAUACGCCUCUUAGAAAGUAUAGAGCUUGCUCUUGUUUAAUUAAUUGUAGGAUAACUUCUCGUGGAUGUAAUAACAUUUCAUGUCAAAGUAGCGGAUGCAUGGCAAUUGGAAAGUAAAUUUCUAGAUCUAUGAAUGCUGUCAAUAGGUUAGCACAUUAGUUUAAGGAUAGGGGAGAAUAGAAGUUAAUAUCAGAAUCAGAUAAUUUUGUUUUUGGCUAUGACUGUAGGUGUUUUAUAGCCUGAUUCAUAUUGUAGGGAUGUUGCUUGUGGUUGAUAUGGUAAGGCUCAAAGGUCCAGUUAGGUCUUGAAGACUGGUACUUAGUGGUGCUAAUUAUUGUGGCAGUGCAAGGAUCCCAUUUAGAUGAUGGGCCUCCUUGGAGUUGCACCACUAAGAGAGUAUGCUAAGAGCUUGGCUUUGCAUACAUUUGUUAGUUAUGGUGUUCUCUCCUUUUUUUUUCCCUUUUUGUUGUUCUGUUAUGUAUUUGGCAUGGAACUAGUGUAUGGAGAAAAGUGAAUAGAUUGGAGAUUAGCUCUUAAUUGUUUAAUGUGGUAUGCAUGGAUGAAGUCAACAAUCAUGUUCUUGUGAUCUCUGUAUGAACUAGGAUGGCUCUCUUCCACUCUAUAUUGAAUUUUGCUUAUUUCCUUCUGUUUUGUAAUAAGGUCUGAAGUAGAGGGAAGCAUUUAAGUGCCGGAGAAUCAAUGAUGUGAGACAAUAAUUAGAUAGGAAAUGAAAAAUAAUGGGGCUUGGGACUCCAGUACUUCUACUUAAUUUGAAUUUAUUAUACAUUAUGUAAUGCUUAGAAUUGUGUUUGAGUUUUUUGAAGUAUCAUUUCAUAAGAGCAAGUAUUCAGUUAUUCAAGGUAGUUAGAUGGAUAUUAUUUACAAUAAUGAGUGUUUAUAUGGAUGUUGCUAGGUUUCUUAGAUUUUUUUUUUUAAAUAAUAUAUUUGGAAUUGGCUAGGUAAUUUGUGACAAAAUAUAAUAUCCUGUCCUUUGUAGCUUUCACCUCCUGUCAAUGAAGAAGUCAAUGAUCAAUGGUUUUCCCACUUAUUUCUCAAAACAUUGAUUCAAAAUUAUUAUAUUUCCAUUGGCAUAACAUAUUUUCUCUUAACUUUGUUAU
RNAcentral lists this unclassified non-coding RNA (1349 nucleotides) under Hevea brasiliensis (rubber tree). Lineage: Eukaryota; Viridiplantae; Streptophyta; Magnoliopsida; Malpighiales; Euphorbiaceae. The record is from RNAcentral.